UACGUAGGGUGCGAGCGUUAAUCGGAAUUACUGGGCGUAAAGCGUGCGCAGGCGGUUCGUUAAGUCAGAUGUGAAAGCCCCGGGCUCAACCUGGGAACUGCAUUUGAAACUGGCGGGCUUGAGUAUGGCAGAGGGGGGUGGAAUUCCGCGUGUAGCAGUGAAAUGCGUAGAGAUGCGGAGGAACACCGAUGGCGAAGGCAGCCCCCUGGGCUAACACUGACGCUCAGGCACGAAAGCGUGGGGAGCGAACAGG
Molecule: ribosomal RNA, 253 nt
Filed under: uncultured bacterium
Lineage: Bacteria
Description: partial 16S ribosomal RNA
Rfam family: Bacterial small subunit ribosomal RNA
Source: RNAcentral